AUUCAGAUGACGAGUCCCAAAUAGGACGAAACGCGAGUCCUGGAU
RNAcentral lists this non-coding RNA (45 nucleotides) under Schistosoma mansoni. The record is from RNAcentral. Lineage: Eukaryota; Metazoa; Platyhelminthes; Trematoda; Strigeidida; Schistosomatidae.